UUCAGGUUUUUGUCAAGGAGGAAAGAUGGAAGUGCACGAAGCAGAUGAUGGGGAAAUAUCAAUUAUUUUCUUUAAAAUUUCCAUCAAUUCAAGUAACUUUAGGUUAAGAAAUUUGCUGCCGCCUGUAAUCCAGAGACUGAACUCCUUGAGGAAGAUGCCAUAGAGAUGCCUGUGGAGACUGCACGCUGCUCCAGGAGAUUCUGAGCAAACCAGAUAUGCGAGAUUGAACUUUGGGGGGGGGUUAAAUUCACUUGUUUUUGUUAAAAUUCAUUUUUUUAUUAACUACAUUUGUUUUGCUAAAUGCUUUUAAUUUUGUAUGUUGUGUGAAAGGGGACUGCUUCCUAAUUAGCUUUGUUCUUAUCUCCCUUUUGUUUCCUUAUCCCCAGGUUGUUGUAUUUUCCCCCUUGUAAAAUUGUAUGUAUCUUUAGUUUACAACAUUUGAAUUUAAACUAACUAACUAACUAAACUAAAUAAAUGUUUAGUUACAGUGUUUGAAAUUGGGGAG
This 505-nucleotide long non-coding RNA is filed under the name Monodelphis domestica (gray short-tailed opossum). RNAcentral's name for it is "lncRNA (ENSMODG00000041829.1)". Lineage: Eukaryota; Metazoa; Chordata; Mammalia; Didelphimorphia; Didelphidae. The record is from RNAcentral.